UUGAUCCUGGCUCAGAUCGAACGCUGGCGGCGUGGCUAAGACAUGCAAGUCGCACGGAAAGGCUCCGACGGAUCCUUCGGGUGAAGUUGGGGCACUCAAGUGGCGAAAGGGCGAGGAAUACAUGGAUAACGUACCUCGAGCACGAGGAUAGCCGCGGGAAACUGCGGGUAAUACUCGAUGAUGUCACCGUUCCUAACGUUAUGGUGAUCAAAGGUGGGGAUCCUCGGACCUACCGGCUCAAGAGCGGUCCAUGUCCUAUCAGCUUGUUGGUGAGGUAACGGCUCACCAAGGCAACGACGGGUAGCGGGGCUGAGAGGUUGACCCGCCGCACUGGGACUGAGACACUGCCCAGACUCCUACGGGAGGCUGCAGUAACGAAUAUUGGUCAAUGGGCGCAAGCCUGAACCAGCGACGCCGCGUGCGGGAGGAAGCCCUUCGGGGUGUAAACCGCUGUCAGGGAUUACCAAGCAAAGGGAGCGAACAGUUCCCGGCGUUGAGGAGUCCCAGAGGAAGUCACGGCUAACUUCGUGCCAGCAGCCGCGGUAAGACGAAGGUGGCAAGCGUUGUUCGGAAUCACUGGGCUUAAAGAGCACGUAGGCGGCCUAUCAAGCGCUUUGUGAAAGCCCUCGGCUCAACCGAGGAAUUGCUUGGCGAACUGAUAGGCUUGAGGCAGGUAGGAGCGAGUGGAACUCUCGGUGGAGCGGUGGAAUGCGUAGAUAUCGAGAGGAACGCCGGACGUGAAGACGACUCGCUGGACCUGUCCUGACGCUGAGGUGCCGAAAGCCAGGGGAGCGAACGGGAUUAGAUACCCCGGUAGUCCUGGCCAUAAACGAUGUCCACUAG
Molecule: ribosomal RNA, 843 nt
Filed under: uncultured organism
Description: bacterial SSU rRNA
Rfam family: Bacterial small subunit ribosomal RNA
Source: RNAcentral